RNAcentral lists this transfer RNA (71 nucleotides) under Gasteruption parvicollarium. RNAcentral's name for it is "tRNA-His". Lineage: Eukaryota; Metazoa; Arthropoda; Insecta; Hymenoptera; Gasteruptiidae. The record is from RNAcentral.
GAUUAAAUAGUUUAUUAAAAAUUUUAAUUUGUGGAAUUGAAGAUAUAAAAAUAUAAAUUUUAUUUUAAUCA